Molecule: ribosomal RNA, 196 nt
Filed under: uncultured bacterium
Lineage: Bacteria
Description: partial 16S ribosomal RNA
Rfam family: Bacterial small subunit ribosomal RNA
Source: RNAcentral
ACGCUCGACACCUACGGGAGCAGCAGUGGGGGAUAUUGCACAAUGGGGGGAACCCUGAUGCAGCGACGCCGCGUGAGGGAAGAAGGUUUUCGGAUUGUAAACCUCUGUCCUCAGGGAAGAAGAUGACGGUACCUGAGGAGGAAGCCACGGCUAACUACGUGCCACAGCCGCGGUAAUCUGAGCGGGCUGGCAAGGC